RNAcentral lists this ribosomal RNA (269 nucleotides) under uncultured prokaryote. RNAcentral's name for it is "partial 16S ribosomal RNA". It matches the Rfam family "Bacterial small subunit ribosomal RNA", at positions 524 to 792 of the family's 1533-position model. The record is from RNAcentral.
UACGGAGGAUGCGAGCGUUAUCCGGAUUUAUUGGGUUUAAAGGGUGCGCAGGCGGGGGAUUAAGUCGGCGGUGAAGUUUUGCAGCUCAACUGUAAAAGUGCCUUCGAAACUGGUUUCCUUGAGUGUAGAUGAAGUAGGCGGAAUUUGUGGUGUAGCGGUGAAAUGCAUAGAUAUCACGAGGAACUCCGAUUGCGCAGGCAGCUUACUAAACUACUACUGACGCUCAGGCACGAAGGCGUGGGGAUCAAACAGGAUUAGAUACCCUGGUA